Dipodomys spectabilis (banner-tailed kangaroo rat) is the source of this 71-nucleotide non-coding RNA. The record is from the annotation of a RefSeq genome assembly. NCBI's taxonomy places the organism in Eukaryota, Metazoa, Chordata, Mammalia, Rodentia, Heteromyidae.
GGGUGUGGCUCAAAUGGUAGAGCACCUGCCUAGCAAGCAUGACAUCCUGGGUUCAAACCCCAGUACCACCA